This 253-nucleotide ribosomal RNA is filed under the name uncultured bacterium. Its description in RNAcentral is "partial 16S ribosomal RNA". It matches the Rfam family "Bacterial small subunit ribosomal RNA", at positions 524 to 776 of the family's 1533-position model. RNAcentral also lists the same sequence under 2 other names. The record is from RNAcentral.
UACGAAGGGUGCAAGCGUUAAUCGGAAUUACUGGGCGUAAAGGGAGCGUAGGCGGCUUUUUAAGUCGGAUGUGAAAUCCCCGGGCUUAACCUGGGAAUGGCAUCCGAUACUGGGGAGCUAGAGUUUGGGAGAGGGUGAUGGAAUUCCCGGUGUAGCGGUGAAAUGCGUAGAGAUCGGGAGGAACAUCAGUGGCGAAGGCGGUCACCUGGCCUAAAACUGACGCUGAAGCUCGAAAGCGUGGGGAGCAAACAGG